RNAcentral lists this non-coding RNA (27 nucleotides) under Rattus norvegicus (Norway rat). Lineage: Eukaryota; Metazoa; Chordata; Mammalia; Rodentia; Muridae. The record is from RNAcentral.
UUCUGGAAAGCACGGUUUGUGCUCAGG